This 1512-nucleotide ribosomal RNA is filed under the name Lactiplantibacillus pentosus. RNAcentral's name for it is "bacterial SSU rRNA". It matches the Rfam family "Bacterial small subunit ribosomal RNA". Lineage: Bacteria; Bacillati; Bacillota; Bacilli; Lactobacillales; Lactobacillaceae. The record is from RNAcentral.
GACGAACGCUGGCGGCGUGCCUAAUACAUGCAAGUCGAACGAACUCUGGUAUUGAUUGGUGCUUGCAUCAUGAUUUACAUUUGAGUGAGUGGCGAACUGGUGAGUAACACGUGGGAAACCUGCCCAGAAGCGGGGGAUAACACCUGGAAACAGAUGCUAAUACCGCAUAACAACUUGGACCGCAUGGUCCGAGUUUGAAAGAUGGCUUCGGCUAUCACUUUUGGAUGGUCCCGCGGCGUAUUAGCUAGACGGUGGGGUAACGGCUCACCAUGGCAAUGAUACGUAGCCGACCUGAGAGGGUAAUCGGCCACAUUGGGACUGAGACACGGCCCAAACUCCUACGGGAGGCAGCAGUAGGGAAUCUUCCACAAUGGACGAAAGUCUGAUGGAGCAACGCCGCGUGAGUGAAGAAGGGUUUCGGCUCGUAAAACUCUGUUGUUAAAGAAGAACAUAUCUGAGAGUAACUGUUCAGGUAUUGACGGUAUUUAACCAGAAAGCCACGGCUAACUACGUGCCAGCAGCCGCGGUAAUACGUAGGUGGCAAGCGUUGUCCGGAUUUAUUGGGCGUAAAGCGAGCGCAGGCGGUUUUUUAAGUCUGAUGUGAAAGCCUUCGGCUCAACCGAAGAAGUGCAUCGGAAACUGGGAAACUUGAGUGCAGAAGAGGACAGUGGAACUCCAUGUGUAGCGGUGAAAUGCGUAGAUAUAUGGAAGAACACCAGUGGCGAAGGCGGCUGUCUGGUCUGUAACUGACGCUGAGGCUCGAAAGUAUGGGUAGCAAACAGGAUUAGAUACCCUGGUAGUCCAUACCGUAAACGAUGAAUGCUAAGUGUUGGAGGGUUUCCGCCCUUCAGUGCUGCAGCUAACGCAUUAAGCAUUCCGCCUGGGGAGUACGGCCGCAAGGCUGAAACUCAAAGGAAUUGACGGGGGCCCGCACAAGCGGUGGAGCAUGUGGUUUAAUUCGAAGCUGCGCGAAGAACCUUACCAGGUCUUGACAUACUAUGCAAAUCUAAGAGAUUAGACGUUCCCUUCGGGGACAUGGAUACAGGUGGUGCAUGGUUGUCGUCAGCUCGUGUCGUGAGAUGUUGGGUUAAGUCCCGCAACGAGCGCAACCCUUAUUAUCAGUUGCCAGCAUUAAGUUGGGCACUCUGGUGAGACUGCCGGUGACAAACCGGAGGAAGGUGGGGAUGACGUCAAAUCAUCAUGCCCCUUAUGACCUGGGCUACACACGUGCUACAAUGGAUGGUACAACGAGUUGCGAACUCGCGAGAGUAAGCUAAUCUCUUAAAGCCAUUCUCAGUUCGGAUUGUAGGCUGCAACUCGCCUACAUGAAGUCGGAAUCGCUAGUAAUCGCGGAUCAGCAUGCCGCGGUGAAUACGUUCCCGGGCCUUGUACACACCGCCCGUCACACCAUGAGAGUUUGUAACACCCAAAGUCGGUGGGGUAACCUUUUAGGAACCAGCCGCCUAAGGUGGGACAGAUGAUUAGGGUGAAGUCGUAACAAGGUAGCCGUAG